ACUGCCGUGGGACCCCGGUGUGUGGUCACCUCCCUGCCAGCUCACACCCGCACCCGCACCCCUUCCUUCUGCCUCCCCUUGCUCCCAUGCCCCUGCCCCUUCAGGGAGGGAACCCAUUCUCUUGAUUUUACUUUUGGGACUAAUUAAACAAGUUCCAAGUUUCACACCUCUCCAUCUUCCUCGACAGCCUACUUGGGGCCUCCACCUUGAGCCGUCCACCUCUCCUAGAAUUUUGGGUCAGGCCCAAGCAUGGGUGCCUUACCUUAAGGGAAAGCAGAGUCUGCAGUCCCAGGCAAAAUUCAGGGCUGUCCACAUCUGCAGGAACCGUUGGAAAAUGAGGUUGCAUCUCUGACUGAUGACCUCCUCUGAGCACUCACCCCUUUCCUUCCCAGUCCACCCCAAAGUUGAGAACAGCAGAGAGGCUGAUAAUCUGAGCGUCUUGGGACCGUGUGCUGACAGGCUGAAAGCCUCUACCCUUGUCCCGUGCAGAAGAGUCCCUGACCUAGGCCAGGCUCCACCCUUUCCUGCCAGAGCUGCCUCACCAACCUCUCCCCACUUAAAAGCGAUAUGUACUGAGAUACAGUUUGUAUGCCAUCAAA
This is a non-coding RNA of Peromyscus maniculatus bairdii (prairie deer mouse), 599 nucleotides long. Lineage: Eukaryota; Metazoa; Chordata; Mammalia; Rodentia; Cricetidae. The record is from RefSeq and is a predicted model, not a curated record.